CAAUUAGAUUGAGGUUGCAGAGAUCAUGAGUCACCAGUCGGAGGCGAAAAGCGUCAUUGAGGGCUGGCAAAAGGGUGAUCUGCCGAAAUGCUUAAUUGCUUUUUCAAUUAAGUGUUGGGGCUUGGCUGAAUAAGUCAAGUACUGUCGUGAUGAAGUCAUCACGGGGCGCUAUCGACUGA
This is a regulatory RNA element of 179 nucleotides. It matches the Rfam family "Lysine riboswitch aptamer". From Rfam's summary of the family: Riboswitches are metabolite binding domains within certain messenger RNAs that serve as precision sensors for their corresponding targets. The record is from Rfam.